UACGUAGGGUGCAAGCGUUGUCCGGAAUUAUUGGGCGUAAAGAGCUCGUAGGCGGUUUGUUGCGUCGGCUGUGAAAUCCCGAGGCUCAACCCCGGGCGUGCAUUCGAUACUGCGCGGCUCGAGACAGGUAGGGGAGAUCGGAAUUCCUGGUGUAGCGGUGAAAUGCGCAGAUAUCAGGAGGAACACCGGUGGCGAAGGCGGAUCUCUGGGCCUGUUCUGACGCUGAGGCGCGAAAGCUAGGGGAGCGAACAGG
This 253-nucleotide ribosomal RNA is filed under the name uncultured bacterium. RNAcentral's name for it is "partial 16S ribosomal RNA". It matches the Rfam family "Bacterial small subunit ribosomal RNA", at positions 524 to 776 of the family's 1533-position model. The record is from RNAcentral.